RNAcentral lists this long non-coding RNA (1265 nucleotides) under Coturnix japonica (Japanese quail). RNAcentral describes it as "lncRNA (ENSCJPG00005000107.1)". The record is from RNAcentral. Lineage: Eukaryota; Metazoa; Chordata; Aves; Galliformes; Phasianidae.
UGACUAUCUGUCUCAUCGUAAUUGCUGUGAAGUAAAAGGGAAGGAAGAGGCACUUUUUGUAAACAAGUAUUUCAGUGUGUGGAGAACUUGGUGUAGCACAGUGGUGCAAACACUCUAGAACUCAAUGCAAAAACCUGAGACUGCAAAAAUAAGCAAACAUCUUGAAGAAAGAAGGAAUUGAAAGUAUUGAAGGAGAAAACUGCACAGUUCUUGUGGGUUUUUUUGUUGUUGUUGUUUUGUUUUGUUUUGUUGAAUUAUACUGCUUCUCGAGCAAGGAGAAGAGAAAAGAUGGCUUUAAAAGAUUUGGCUUGCAACGAGUUGUUUGAAAUCAUGCUACUACAAAAACACUGUCUUCUUCCCUCAUCGAUUUGUAGAGUUUUCAUGGUGUUCCAUUCGCAGAUCCUUUGGAGUGUCUAUAAUUUCUUUCUCUGAUUUUAUACACCUUAGACAUGUGGCAAGAAAAGUGUUUUUUUGACUGUGCAGAAAUACUGUGGCAACAGACAAGAUCGUAUUUGGAAGUGGGAUCACUUUCUCAGUUGAACCAAAGCCAAGGUGUAUGGAAAGGAGAAGAGAAAUGUUAAGUGCUUCAGCAGAAAAGAGGUCCUAUGGAAAGAUAGGACACAACAUUUAUAGCAAUAAAUGAUUGAAAUGUGAGAAAGCACUGCAUGUUUGGAAAUGCCACUCUACAAAAGAAAGACAAAAAGAUUCUACACCAGAAGUCAUUGCACUUAAAUCAAAGGAGUGCAAACAGUAUGCCAGUGUUUUGAAUGUGGCUUGUUUGGCAAGAACAUUCUACAAGAACAUUAGUCUUGAUGGGCCCAAGGGUGACAUUGUGUAUGAUCUGAAGGAACCUAUUCUCACAUCUGAGGGGAUGUACAGUACCUUGAAAGUAGUCGGCGUAAAACGAGAUACAGAAGGGACCUGCAAAGCUGUGCACAAGGGGAAUAAGACUGUAGCAAGCACAGUCCUGCCUGAAGAGAAAGAUGAAGAACUGGCAUCAGAGAAUGCUUGCAACUUUACAGAUGCCUCUAAAAAAGGUUAGUUACCUCAAACAGUAAUAUUGUCAAUGCGCUUUACUGGGGAUUCAGUAGCAUCACAUGGAAACAGUACAGAAAUGUCUGAAUUGUAGAUACUGGUUAAGCAGUAAGUUUCACUUGUGGAUUCCAUAAAAAGGCAUGAAGAAAAUGCUUUUUCUGAUGCAAAAAUGUCAGAUUACGGAGUAAAAACAUGCCAUUUCAAAUUAACAGGUUAAAUAGAUGACAAUG